GACGAACGCUGGCGGCGUGCUUAACACAUGCAAGUCGAACGAUGAAGUUCCUUCGGGAAUGGAUUAGUGGCGAACGGGUGAGAAACACGUGAGAAACCUGCCUUUCAUUUUGGGAUAACUCCGGGAAACCGGAGCUAACACCGAAUACUCCGUCUCGGCGGCAUCGCUGAGCCGGGAAAAAAUUUUGAUGAAAGAUGGUCUCGCGGCCUAUCAGCUAGUUGGUGAGGUAAUGGCUCACCAAGGCGACGACGGGUAGCCGGCCUGAGAGGGCGACCGGCCACACUGGGACUGAGACACGGCCCAGACUCCUACGGGAGGCAGCAGUGGGGAAUAUUGGGCAAUGGGCGCAAGCCUGACCCAGCGACGCCGCGUGAGGGAUGAAGGCCUUCGGGUUGUAAACCUCUUUCAGUAGGGAAGAAGCGAAAGUGACGGUACCUAAAGAAGAAGCACCGGCUAACUAUGUGCCAGCAGCCGCCGCAG
RNAcentral lists this ribosomal RNA (480 nucleotides) under uncultured bacterium. Its description in RNAcentral is "partial 16S ribosomal RNA". It matches the Rfam family "Bacterial small subunit ribosomal RNA", at positions 28 to 523 of the family's 1533-position model. The record is from RNAcentral.